AGAGUUUGAUCAUGGCUCAGGAUGAACGCUAGCUACAGGCUUAACACAUGCAAGUCGAGGGGCAGCAUGUUGGUUGCUUGCAACCAACGAUGGCGACCGGCGCACGGGUGAGUAACGCGUAUCCAACCUACCCUUGUCCAUCGGAUAACCCGUCGAAAGGCGGCCUAACACGAUAUGCGGUUCACAGCAGGCAUCUAACGUGAACGAAAUGUAAAGGAGAAGGAUGGGGAUGCGUCUGAUUAGCUUGGUUGGCGGGGUAACGGCCACCAGGCAACGAUCAGUAGGGGUUCUGAGAGGAAGGUCCCCCANAUUGGAACUGAGACACGGUCCAAACUCCUACGGGAGGCA
This 348-nucleotide ribosomal RNA is filed under the name uncultured bacterium. RNAcentral's name for it is "bacterial SSU rRNA". It matches the Rfam family "Bacterial small subunit ribosomal RNA", at positions 8 to 350 of the family's 1533-position model. The record is from RNAcentral.